This is a long non-coding RNA of Ahaetulla prasina, 2622 nucleotides long. RefSeq lists it as uncharacterized. The record is from RefSeq and is a predicted model, not a curated record. Lineage: Eukaryota; Metazoa; Chordata; Lepidosauria; Squamata; Colubridae. The transcript is spliced from 4 exons.
GGUUUCCUGAGGCCUAUUCUGUCCAAAUGCUAAUAUUGCAAAAUAUUUUGAGAAGUUGCUAAGAUGCUGCUAAACCUCAUUUAGAUUAAUUACCAAGAGAAUCAUAAUUCAAAUAAAGGUAUAAGAAUAAACAAGGGUUUGUUUUAGGAAUCAUAUCAUGACCUUGCCUUGCAGAAGAAUCUUCUUUUUCCAACAAAUUUCUCUGUUAUCAUUGGUUAUAUGGUGAUCAUAUCCAAGGAAGAUGACCUCCUUCUCCUCCUCUAUACUUAUAGUUGGUAGCACAUUAAGCCAGGAGUUUAGACUGCAUUUUGCAUUUUUAUCACUGUGAAAUUCAGCUGGUUCUAUCCAGCUUGCACAAACCAGUAGCGCUGGCAGCAGGAGGUUCUGCCCACCCGCCGGGACAUCAUUACGUCCUGCUUUUGACCCUCUGCACAUGCGCAGAAGAAGCAUGCACGCUCACAUUCCCAAAACGGUAGAGAAGUUAGCUGCCUAAGUUGUGUACCUGACAGUCAGACCACUGAAGAAGAACAAUAAAGUCCUUUGAUUUCGAUAUUCACAGAAGGUUGUAAAAGAUGAUCAGAAAACCCUGGGACACCGCAACCGUCAGAAAUAUGACUCAGCUGCCAAGAAUAUGAAUUUUGAUCAUGUGACCGUGAGGAUGCUGCUGCAGUCCAACGUCUCAUACUCUGUCCAAAUUUGCAAGAGGACCUAGCGGCAAUAUCAUCCCAAUCAUUUUAAUUUUGUUUUCAGCUUCACAGUUUUGCCAUUUGAAAGCUUGAUGAAACAACUGUCUCAUUUUUGUACUUAGGAUGAUCAGACUUUUUUAAAAAAUCUCAUAAUCAGACUUUAGAAUAUUACUUUGAACUUACUGUAGUAAGAAUUUGCAUCUGAGUCCUUAAAAAUGUGUAUCUGAUAUGAUAAAACAAAACAUAACCUCAGCUAUGGAUAUUUGUCAUUUGGUUAUCUCAGCUGUCUAACUUUGUGGUCUGACAUUAAGACAGCUUCCUAUUGCUCUGGGAUGUUGUUCAGAAAAAUAGGGGCUUGCAACAUUAGUAAGUUUGUUUGCAAAAUAUAAUUCCAAUUUCUCAUCAGGAUCCAAAAGCUGCAAAAUAUUAGAAAAGGUGUUAAGGUACUAAAGUACUUAUUUAGAGGGGAGAACAGAUAUCCUUUAUAUAUUUUCUUAUUUUUUUUCUAUCUGUUUGCACUUCUUUUUCUAUAUUUUGCUUAUAAAGACUUAUAUUUGUAAAAGACCAAAAGCUGCAUGAAGUCUUUCCCCAAAAUCAAGGCCCAACCCAGUGGUGGGUUUCAAAUUUUUUUACUACUGGUUCUGUGGGUGUGGCUUGGUGGGCGUGGCAUGGCUUGGUGGGCAUGGCAGGGGAAGGAUACUUUAAAAUCUCCAUUCCCUUCCCAAUCCAGGGGAAGGGUACUGUAAAAUCCCCAUUUCCUACCAAUCAGCUGGGACUCAGGAGGCAGAGAAUAGAUGGGGGCGGGGCCAGUUAGAAUUUUAACUACCGGUUCUCCGAAAGACUCAAUCUUUCUGCUACCAGUUCUCCAGAACUGGUCAGAACCUGCUGAAACCCACCUCUGGCCCAACCACAUUUUUGUUUUGUUCAUAUUUCUCAUGAUUAGCACUAACACAGAUGCACUAUGUAGUAUGUUUCUAUUAUCAGGGGAAACUACUGUAGAAAAUCAGGCAACAAAGUUUUAAUUGCCACUACUCCAAAGUGUUGUAACUCUCAUUUGACCGUAGGCUUUUCCUUCUGCCUAUCAAAACUUGGAUUAAAAGUUUAGGAAGGAAAUUCUAUCUCCAGCUUUUAGGAAUGUAGUAGCCUGGUUCCAGCAACAUUUUACAAUAACAUUUCUUGAGGAGGAACUAGAAUUAAUUUAUAAUAGCUAAUAUAAUAGCUUAUAAUAGCUAUUUUGUUUUAAAGGUGAAUAUAGCAACUAAUCACCAAAUAUGCUCAGACUUUUUCAAGCUGUAUUGAGUAGAAGAGUUGUAGAAGAAACGCCAUGUUGUAAGUAGUUUUGCAAGCUAGAGAAGACCUUUAGAUAUAAUAUAUGUCUGAGCCACCAAGACCACAAGUGAACUACAAGUAUCCAUUAACUCUGAAAGGUGAGAGGAAAAGUCUGACUUUUACAUUCUGGAGGAGCACAGACAUAUAUUCCUUUCCCAGCAUUAAAGCUUUUUCCAGAGACCUGAGUCUUUGCACAAUUUCCAUAAUAUAUUAGGUUAAAAUGUGAUUGGCCAGUUUGUGACUCGGUGUAUCUUGCAAGUCACAAAAUGACAAAUAGGAGUAAGUUAUUGUACCUUGGCAAUGUAGGCUCUGUGCUCUCUACCAUGGACAUACUAAAGAGGUAUUCUCCUUCAAUAAUGGAAAAGAACAUUGCAAAUCCAAGAACUCAAAUUAAAUCCAUAUCAUCUCCAAGCAAGGCAUGAGGGAAAAUUCUCUGUCUGAAAUCCAGGAGAACUGCUGUCAUUCAAUGUGCAAAUGAGAACUUACGGUUCCUGGUCAAUGUUUAGCCUAAGGCAACCUUAUAUGUGUAGAGUAUUUUGCAUUACUUACUGAAUAUUGUCAUUAAAACAUGUUUAUAUCCUGUUGUGGUUGUUUUCCUAGUACUCCC